This 499-nucleotide ribosomal RNA is filed under the name uncultured bacterium. RNAcentral describes it as "partial 16S ribosomal RNA". It matches the Rfam family "Bacterial small subunit ribosomal RNA", at positions 28 to 507 of the family's 1533-position model. The record is from RNAcentral.
GACGAACGCUGGCGGCGUGCCUAAUACAUGCAAGUCGAGCGAAGUUUUUCUGGUGCUUGCACCGGAAAAACUUAGCGGCGAACGGGUGAGUAACACGUAAAGAACCUGCCUCAUAGACUGGGACAACUAUUGGAAACGAUAGCUAAUACCGGAUAACAGCAUUAACUGCAUGGUUGAUGUUUAAAAGUUGGUUUUGCUAACACUAUGAGAUGGCUUUGCGGUGCAUUAGCUAGUUGGUGGGGUAAAGGCCUACCAAGGCGACGAUGCAUAGCCGACCUGAGAGGGUGAUCGGCCACACUGGGACUAAGACACGGCCCAGACUCCUACGGGAGGCAGCAGUAGGGAAUCUUCCGCAAUGGGCGAAAGCCUGACGGAGCAACGCCGCGUGAGUGAAGAAGGAUUUCGGUUCGUAAAGCUCUGUUGUUAGGGAAGAAUGAUUGUGUAGUAACUAUACACAGUAGAGACGGUACCUAACCAGAAAGCCACGGCUAACUACGUG